This 429-nucleotide ribosomal RNA is filed under the name uncultured bacterium. Its description in RNAcentral is "bacterial SSU rRNA". It matches the Rfam family "Bacterial small subunit ribosomal RNA", at positions 355 to 776 of the family's 1533-position model. The record is from RNAcentral.
UGGGGAAUCUUCCGCAAUGGACGAAAGUCUGACGGAGCAACGCCGCGUGAGUGAUGAAGGUCUUCGGAUUGUAAAACUCUGUUGUCAGGGACGAAUGCACCGAUCUAUAAUACAUUUUGGUGUUGACGGUACCUGACGAGGAAGCCACGGCUAACUACGUGCCAGCAGCCGCGGUAAUACGUAGGUGGCAAGCGUUGUCCGGAAUUAUUGGGCGUAAAGAGCAUGUAGGCGGGCUUUUAAGUCCGACGUGAAAAUGCGGGGCUUAACCCCGUAUGGCGUUGGAUACUGGGAGUCUUGAGUGCAGGAGAGGAAAGGGGAAUUCCCAGUGUAGCGGUGAAAUGCGUAGAUAUUGGGAGGAACACCAGUGGCGAAGGCGCCUUUCUGGACUGUGUCUGACGCUGAGAUGCGAAAGCCAGGGUAGCAAACGGG